GCGGCGGUAGUCUAGCCUGGUUAGGGCGGCCAAAAGCCCCCAGAGUAGGAUGGCGGCCUGCCAGGCCGCACCAUCGGCGCAGUGAGCCGUUGAUCCCGGGUUCAAAUCCCGGCCGCCGCA
RNAcentral lists this transfer RNA (120 nucleotides) under Thermoproteus tenax Kra 1. RNAcentral's name for it is "transfer RNA-Gly(GCC)". It matches the Rfam family "tRNA". From Rfam's summary of the family: Transfer RNA (tRNA) molecules are approximately 80 nucleotides in length. Their secondary structure includes four short double-helical elements and three loops (D, anti-codon, and T loops). The record is from RNAcentral. Lineage: Archaea; Thermoproteati; Thermoproteota; Thermoprotei; Thermoproteales; Thermoproteaceae.